UGGUGGCGCAGUGGUUGAGAGUCCGCCUGCCGAUGCAGGGGAAGCGGGUUCGUGCCCCGGUCCGGGAAGAUCCCACAUGCCGCGGAGCGGCUGGGCCCGUGAACCAUGGCCGCUGGGCCUGCGCGUCCGGAGCCUGUGCUCCGCAACGGGAGAGGCCACAGCAGUGAGAGGCCCUUGUACCGCAAAAAAGAAGAAAAAGAAAGUGGCAGUGUGCAGUGGUGUGCUGGGUUUCCUCAACAACCCGCUCUCCCGAGGAGGAGAUGUGCUGAUUUUCGUGCUGUAAAUACUCUCACCAGGGCCAGUUUUGAGGGUUAUGUGAGGUGUAAUUCAGAAGACACACAUGCAAGGCUGCAGUGGGUGACACUUCCCAGGGGUAGUAGCCCUUCCAGGCUGGAUGAUCCCCAUUUCUUCUGAAGCCACAG
This is a non-coding RNA of Kogia breviceps (pygmy sperm whale), 422 nucleotides long. NCBI's taxonomy places the organism in Eukaryota, Metazoa, Chordata, Mammalia, Artiodactyla, Physeteridae. The record is from RefSeq and is a predicted model, not a curated record.